Molecule: ribosomal RNA, 465 nt
Filed under: Vreelandella stevensii
Lineage: Bacteria; Pseudomonadati; Pseudomonadota; Gammaproteobacteria; Oceanospirillales; Halomonadaceae
Description: partial 16S ribosomal RNA
Rfam family: Bacterial small subunit ribosomal RNA
Source: RNAcentral
CCUACGGGUGGCAGCAGUGGGGAAUAUUGGACAAUGGGCGAAAGCCUGAUCCAGCCAUGCCGCGUGUGUGAAGAAGGCCUUCGGGUUGUAAAGCACUUUCAGUGGGGAAGAAAGCCUUGGGGCUAAUACCCUCGAGGAAGGACAUCACCCACAGAAGAAGCACCGGCUAACUCCGUGCCAGCAGCCGCGGUAAUACGGAGGGUGCGAGCGUUAAUCGGAAUUACUGGGCGUAAAGCGCGCGUAGGCGGUCUGAUAAGCCGGUUGUGAAAGCCCCGGGCUCAACCUGGGAACGGCAUCCGGAACUGUCAGGCUAGAGUGUAGGAGAGGAAGGUAGAAUUCCCGGUGUAGCGGUGAAAUGCGUAGAGAUCGGGAGGAAUACCAGUGGCGAAGGCGGUCUUCUGGACUGACACUGACGCUGAGGUGCGAAAGCGUGGGUAGCAAACAGGAUUAGAUACCCCGGUAGUC